Cottoperca gobio is the source of this 939-nucleotide RNA transcript. It is a transcript of the gene named transcriptional coactivator YAP1-A-like, with no coding region annotated. The transcript is spliced from 3 exons. NCBI's taxonomy places the organism in Eukaryota, Metazoa, Chordata, Actinopteri, Perciformes, Bovichtidae. The record is from RefSeq and is a predicted model, not a curated record.
CCCUCCGUCAGUGGGAGGACGUGGGCACGUUGCAUAAUUAACAGCUGAGAUUCAGGAUCACAGAGCCGAGAGGAGACGUCCUCCAUCACUCACAAUGUCCUGUUAGAGGCGAUGAAGACAAGGCCAAGUCACACAGGAAGUAGAUCUUCCUUACGGCUGGGAGGAGGCCUUCACUGCAGACGGAGUGAAAUACUACAUCAAUCACAUGACCCAGACGACGUCCUGGAAACUUCCUGUGACGGCCCCGGGGCCCGCCCCCCCCCCACAGACCACCGAGGUGCAGGCCGAGCGGGACGGGGAGGCGAAGGAGCGGCGGCCCGGCUCCUCCAUCGAGACGGAGAUGUGAAACGCUGCAGUUUCAUUAAAGUCAUUAAAAAGUUUAGUUUCACCUUCUUUCAAACCCGCAGAACUUUAUUUAAAACGUACACUCCCACAUUUGAGGAAAUACGCUGGUCUGCUGUCUCGCACCUCGUGAGGACGUCACGUUCUAUAUUACGUCCUUUUAUGAAUUCAACAGAGGAGAUAUCAUUUAUGCUAAGCUAAAAUAAGCUAAGCUAAGCUAAGCUAACCGGCUCCUUAUUUAACGGUCAAACAUUUAUCUAACUUUUCCUAAAAACUGUUUAGGUGAUGCCAAAGAAAAUUAAAUAAGAAGAAUUAUGAGACUGAACUUAGUAUAAAAUAUAUUAUAUAAAGUAUAAUAUAGUAUAAAAACAUACCUUCUAUCAGCCUAUCAACAUAAAAUACAAAUAAAUACUUUAAAUAAAUAUGUACAAGAAACAUAAAUAUAGAAUAAAAAGUUAUGAAUAAAUAUUAUAAAGAUAUUUAAAUUAAUUAUAAAAUAUGUACAAGAAACAUAAACUAAAGUAAAACACAAUAAAAAUAGCUGUGCAGCGGUACAAAGUCAAAUUUUUAUUUAUGAGUUAUUAUUGGAACGUAACU